Molecule: long non-coding RNA, 223 nt
Organism: Poecilia latipinna (sailfin molly)
Lineage: Eukaryota; Metazoa; Chordata; Actinopteri; Cyprinodontiformes; Poeciliidae
Exons: 3
Source: RefSeq, a predicted model, not a curated record
UUGGCCUUCUCUGUGCUGAAUUAUUGUGCAGAGGUGUUGACUGACUUGUUGCAUAUAUGGGACAACGCUGUGUCCAAAAGUCCGCAAUAUAGUGAUGUGGCAUUCAGGAACAGUCCAAUUCUUCUGAAUGGCUCUUUACUUAGAAAAUAGGACUGGAGUGUCACUGAGAGCCGUUCUUUGUUGUUGUAAUGCUCUGCGUACACUGCAGUAGCUAUCAUUAUUU